Molecule: ribosomal RNA, 497 nt
Filed under: uncultured bacterium
Lineage: Bacteria
Description: partial 16S ribosomal RNA
Rfam family: Bacterial small subunit ribosomal RNA
Source: RNAcentral
GACGAACGCUGGCGGCGUGCCUAAUACAUGCAAGUUGAGCGCUGCAGGUUGGUACUUGUACCCACUGGAUGAGCAGCGAACGGGUGAGUAACGCGUGGGGAAUCUGCCUUUGAGCGGGGGACAACAUUUGGAAACGACUGCUAAUACCGCAUAAAAACUUUAAACACAAGUUUUAAGUUUGAAAGAUGCAAUUGCAUCACUCAAAGAUGAUCCCGCGUUGUAUUAGCUAGUUGGUGAGGUAAAGGCUCAACAAGGCGAUGAUACAUAGCCGACCUGAGAGGGUGAUCGGCCACAGUGGGACUGAGACACGGCCCAAACUCCUACGGGAGGCAGCAGUAGGGAAUCUUCGGCAAUGGAAGAAAGGCUGACCGAGCAACGCCGCGUGAGUGAAGAAGGUUUUCGGAUCGUAAAACUCUGUUGGUAGAGAAGAACGUUGGUGAGAGUGGAAAGCUCAUCAAGUGACGGUAACUACCCAGAAAGGGACGGCUAACUACGUG